GACGAACGCUGGCGGCGUGCUUAACACAUGCAAGUCGAACGGAAAGGCCCUGCUUUUGUGGGGUGCUCGAGUGGCGAACGGGUGAGUAACAAGUGAGUAACCUGCCCUUGACUUUGGGAUAACUUCAGGAAACUUGGGCUAAUACCGGAUAGGAGCCCCUGCUGCAUGGUGGGGGUUGGAAAGUUUCGGCGGUUGGGGAUGGACUCGCGGCUUAUCAGCUUGUUGGUGGGGUAGUGGCUUACCAAGGCUUUGACGGGUAGCCGGCCUGAGAGGGUGACCGGCCACAUUGGGACUGAGAUACGGCCCAGACUCCUACGGGAGGCAGCAGUGGGGAAUAUUGCACAAUGGGCGGAAGCCUGAUGCAGCAACGCCGCGUGCGGGAUGACGGCCUUCGGGUUGUAAACCGCUUUCGCCUGUGACGAAGCGUGAGUGACGGUAAUGGGUAAAGAAGCACCGGCUAACUACGUG
This 468-nucleotide ribosomal RNA is filed under the name uncultured bacterium. RNAcentral describes it as "partial 16S ribosomal RNA". It matches the Rfam family "Bacterial small subunit ribosomal RNA", at positions 28 to 507 of the family's 1533-position model. The record is from RNAcentral.